Molecule: ribosomal RNA, 547 nt
Filed under: uncultured bacterium
Lineage: Bacteria
Description: bacterial SSU rRNA
Rfam family: Bacterial small subunit ribosomal RNA
Source: RNAcentral
UGGGGAAUAUUGCGCAAUGGGGGGAACCCUGACGCAGCCAUGCCGCGUGAAUGAAGAAGGCCUUCGGGUUGUAAAGUUCUUUCGGUAUUGAGGAAGGUUGAUGUGUUAAUAGCACAUCAAAUUGACGUUAAAUACAGAAGAAGCACCGGCUAACUCCGUGCCAGCAGCCGCGGUAAUACGGAGGGUGCGAGCGUUAAUCGGAAUAACUGGGCGUAAAGGGCACGCAGGCGGUUAUUUAAGUGAGGUGUGAAAGCCCUGGGCUUAACCUAGGAAUUGCAUUUCAGACUGGGUAACUAGAGUACUUUAGGGAGGGGUAGAAUUCCACGUGUAGCGGUGAAAUGCGUAGAGAUGUGGAGGAAUACCGAAGGCGAAGGCAGCCCCUUGGGAAUGUACUGGCGCUCAUGUGCGAAAGCGUGGGGAGCAAACAGGAUUAGAUGCCCUGGUAGUCCACGCUGUAAACGCUGUCGAUUUGGGGGUUGGGGUUUAACUCUGGCGCCCGUAGCUAACGUGAUAAAUCGACCGCCUGGGGAGUACGGCCGCAAGGUUA